This 72-nucleotide transfer RNA is filed under the name Camelus bactrianus (Bactrian camel). It matches the Rfam family "tRNA". From Rfam's summary of the family: Transfer RNA (tRNA) molecules are approximately 80 nucleotides in length. The record is from Rfam by way of RNAcentral. Lineage: Eukaryota; Metazoa; Chordata; Mammalia; Artiodactyla; Camelidae. RNAcentral also lists the same sequence under 2 other names.
GAAGUUAUAGCUCAGUGGUAGAGCACGUGCUUAACAUGCAUGAGGUCCCAGGUUUAAUCCCCAGUACCUCCG